RNAcentral lists this transfer RNA (85 nucleotides) under Acidobacteriota bacterium. RNAcentral describes it as "tRNA-Leu". It matches the Rfam family "tRNA". From Rfam's summary of the family: Transfer RNA (tRNA) molecules are approximately 80 nucleotides in length. Their secondary structure includes four short double-helical elements and three loops (D, anti-codon, and T loops). The record is from RNAcentral. Lineage: Bacteria; Pseudomonadati; Acidobacteriota.
GCGAAAGUGGCGGAACUGGUAUACGCGCCAGACUUAGGAUCUGGUCCCGAAAGGGUUGGGGGUUCGAGUCCCCCCUUUCGCACCA